This 67-nucleotide transfer RNA is filed under the name Travisia sanrikuensis. Its description in RNAcentral is "tRNA-Ile". Lineage: Eukaryota; Metazoa; Annelida; Polychaeta; Opheliidae. The record is from RNAcentral.
GGUAUCGCGCCGGGUUAGAACGGAUAACUCUGAUGACGUUAAAUACGGGUGCCACACCCCGAUACCU